This 116-nucleotide ribosomal RNA is filed under the name Bacillus subtilis subsp. subtilis str. BSP1. Lineage: Bacteria; Bacillati; Bacillota; Bacilli; Caryophanales; Bacillaceae. The record is from RNAcentral.
CGGCUUACCAGGUGAUGAAAGAGGGAAGCUAUUAUCCCGGAACAGAUCAGAAUGCCGAGGGAAGCGCGGUAUUUAUUAAUAACAAGACAGGCGGUGUAGAAGCGGCCAUCGGCGGA